Camellia sinensis is the source of this 731-nucleotide non-coding RNA. The record is from RefSeq and is a predicted model, not a curated record. Lineage: Eukaryota; Viridiplantae; Streptophyta; Magnoliopsida; Ericales; Theaceae.
CAUAGGAGAUUUUUUUUACUUGACAGGAAUACAAGAACUGAUAGGCUGCUUCUUAGUAGUGAUAUGGCUUUGAUACCAUGUAAAUAUUGGAAACAAAAAGUGGAAUUAAAAUUUGGUUAAAAAAAAAAAACUAAUGGCUUUGCGCAGAAAACAACACCUGAAUCAGUGGUUGACGGAGUUGACAAAUAACGAAACUCUGUCCUUGCAACAUCAAGUCCAGGCAGUUGCUCCUUUAGUGUUGCAGCAGUACUUUCUGAUACAAUUCAGAAGAUGUUGUCUGAUGUUUCUUUGGCCAUCUCCUCACUGACAAAUAGAAAAACCAGGGAUCAGAUCAUGAUUCUCAACUCAAAAAGGUCGCUUAGGUAUUGUCGAUCAUGAUGUAGUUCAGCUUAACAAUCUGCACAGGCAGAUUAUCCAUACUGAAGCAUAUAUUGGUCAGUCAAAAGUGGAAUCUGCUGCUGCUGCUUGUCACUCAUAUGUAACACUGGAUUGACUGACUACUUUGAAAACCUGGUCACAUUCUAAAGCAAUGAAGAGAGCCAUCAGUGAACAUUGUGGUGUAUGGACAAUCCCAAUGCUUAGUUACUUUUACUGUUUCCAGUGCAUUGGUAUAAGGUUAGCUUGGUAAACAUUGUGGUGUACUUGAAUUGAGUGUUUUUAUAUAACUUACUCUCCUAGUGUAAACAUGACAGCCAGUGAAUUAGUUUGAAUUUUUACUUGACUUCUGUUAA